AAACUGGGGUUAAUUCUCGAUGGGUGAGGAGGCCUGGAAUGGUUCUUCACUGAAAGGGCGCUAGAGGCAUGCUCUCUAACGUUGCCCAAGGAUGGGGCCGCGGCCGAUCAGGUUGUUGGUGAGGUAACGGCUUACCAAGCCUAUAACCGGUACGGGCCGUGAGAGCGGAAGCCCGGAGAUGGGCACUGAGAUAAGGGCCCAGGCCCUACGGGGCGCAGCAGUUACGAAAACUCCGCAAUGCACGAAAGUGUGACGGGGCUACCCCGAGUGCCGUCCGCUGAGGAUGGCUUUUCUCCGCUGUAAGGAGGCGGAGGAAUAAGGAGAGGGCAAGACUGGUGUCAGCCGCCGCGGUAAUACCAGCUCUCCGAGUGGUAGGGAUGAUUAUUGGGCUUAAAGCGUCCGUAGCCGGCCUAGCAAGUCUUCCGUUAAAUCCAGCAACCUAAUUGUUGGGCUGCGGGGGAUACUGUUAGGCUAGGGGGGCGGGAAAAGGCCGACGGUAUUCUCGGGGUAGGGGUGAAAUCUUAUAAUCCCGGGAAGAACCACCAGUGGCGAANGCUGUCGGCUAGCACGCGCCUGACGGUGANGGACGAAGCUGGGGGAACGAACCGGAUUAGAUACCCNGGGUAGUNCCUGCUGUAAACAAUGCNAGCUAGGGUGUNGGGGGCGGCUACAAACCCCNUUCANUGCCCCACCAAGGCNUUAAACUCCCCCCNGGGGAAUACGGCC
This 726-nucleotide ribosomal RNA is filed under the name uncultured archaeon. Its description in RNAcentral is "bacterial SSU rRNA". It matches the Rfam family "Archaeal small subunit ribosomal RNA", at positions 137 to 842 of the family's 1478-position model. The record is from RNAcentral.